UAGCAGCCGACAUUUCUGGGGUCUAACAUGACAUAGCUAGCAACCUGCACUAUAGGAGUAUGAAACAACUAGCAGCCGAUACAUGACGGGAUUUACAUGAAAACCUAGCGGCGGACGUCUUACGGGAUUUCAAGAGCAAAACUAUGUAGUAGUCGAUAAUUUCUAGUAGCGCGUAACAAGUGACCGGCACCUCCUGGGGCAUA
This is a non-coding RNA of Caenorhabditis elegans, 203 nucleotides long. NCBI's taxonomy places the organism in Eukaryota, Metazoa, Nematoda, Chromadorea, Rhabditida, Rhabditidae. The record is from Ensembl.